Molecule: ribosomal RNA, 333 nt
Filed under: uncultured bacterium
Lineage: Bacteria
Description: partial 16S ribosomal RNA
Rfam family: Bacterial small subunit ribosomal RNA
Source: RNAcentral
CCUACGGGAGGCAGCAGUGAGGAAUGUUGGGCAAUGGGCUUACGCCUGAACCAGCCAAGUCGCGUGAGGGAAGACUGCCCUAUGGGUUGUAAACCUCUUUUGUCAGGGAGCAAGUGGCGCUACGUGUAGCGUUAUCGAUAGUACCUGCAUACAGAGCAUCGGCUAACUCCGUGCCAGCAGCCCCGGUAAUACGGAGGAUGCGAGCGUUAUCCGGAUUGAUUGGUUUUAAGGGGUGCGUAGGCGGAAUGCAAAGUCAGCGGGAAAAUCGCGGGGCUCAACCUCGCUCCGCCGUUGAAACUGGCGUGCUAGAGUGGGUGAGAAGUAGGCGGAAUG